This 477-nucleotide ribosomal RNA is filed under the name uncultured anaerobic ammonium-oxidizing bacterium. RNAcentral's name for it is "bacterial SSU rRNA". It matches the Rfam family "Bacterial small subunit ribosomal RNA", at positions 364 to 832 of the family's 1533-position model. The record is from RNAcentral.
UUCGCAAUGCCCGAAAGGGUGAACGAGCGACGCCGCGUGUGGGAAGAAGGCCUUCGGGUUGUAAACCACUGUCGGGAGUUAAGAAAUGCAAGGAUAUUAAUAGUGUCUUUGUUUGACUAAGGCUCCGGAGGAAGCCACGGCUAACUCCGUGCCAGCAGCCGCGGUAAUACAGAGGCGGCAAGCGUUGUUCGGAAUUAUUGGGCGUAAAGAGCACGUAGGCGGCUAUGUAAGUCGGUUGUGAAAGCCUUCCGCUCAACGGAAGAACAGCAUCCGAUACUGCAUGGCUUGAGUGCGGGAGGGGAGAGUGGAACUUCUGGUGGAGCGGUGAAAUGCGUAGAUAUCAGAAGGAACGCCGGCGGCGAAAGCGGCUCUCUGGCCCAUAACUGACGCUGAGUGUGCGAAAGCUAGGGGAGCAAACGGGAUUAGAUACCCCGGUAGUCCUAGCCGUAAACGAUGGGCACUAAGUAGAGGGGUUUU